This 408-nucleotide small RNA is filed under the name Histoplasma ohiense. RNAcentral's name for it is "hypothetical lncRNA". The record is from RNAcentral. Lineage: Eukaryota; Fungi; Ascomycota; Eurotiomycetes; Onygenales; Ajellomycetaceae.
AUAACAUGACGCCAGUAACUAUCGGAUAAAAUGAAAUCUUUUUCAGAUGAACGACGGAUCGAUUAGCCAUUGAUUGUAGACCACUCGUACUGGAUACUAAUUUUUCUUGAACUUCCACUGCUCUUUGAGAGUUUUCCGUAUAAUUUUUUAUUUUUUAUUUCUUUUUGGCCUUGUUCGUUUUGCUUUUUCUGAUAUUUCCCUUUCUUCCCGCCUGGUUGGGCUAAACUCAUAUUUGGUCUAGCGGGCUUAUGGAGUUGGAUGAUCGGUAUGCGACAAUCUUCUUCCAAUUCAGUCACUUUUCAUCUUUUUUCCCCCCAGUUCCCUCUCUCUCUCUUGUCGAUGUAGGCAGAUAUUGUAACUACGCGUAUAACUAUACCCUGCUGUUUCAUUUUGUUCAUUAUUGCCCCA